Molecule: small RNA, 149 nt
Filed under: Austwickia chelonae
Lineage: Bacteria; Bacillati; Actinomycetota; Actinomycetes; Micrococcales; Dermatophilaceae
Also listed under: 1 other name
Source: RNAcentral
GCACUGCCGCGGUUGUCGAUCGUUCAGCGAAGCCGGUGAGAAUCCGGCGCUGUCCCGCAACGGUGAUGCCUGUCACUUCCCGGCAGGCUCAGUCCGGUCGCCUGACGGUCGGCUCACAUCGACCCUCGAGGCAAGGGGCCGGGUGACAG